AUUGAACGCUAGCGGCAUGCCUUACACAUGCAAGUCGAACGGCAGCACGGGAGCAAUCCUGGUGGCGAGUGGCGAACGGGUGAGUAAUAUAUCGGAACGUGCCCAGUCUGGGGGGAUAACGUAGCGAAAGCUACGCUAAUACCGCAUACGAUCUAUGGAUGAAANCGGGGGAUCGCAAGACCUCGCGCGAUUGGAGCGGCCGAUAUCAGAUUAGGUAGUUGGUGAGGUAAAGGCUCACCAAGCCGACGAUCUGUAGCUGGUCUGAGAGGACGACCAGCCACACUGGGACUGAGACACGGCCCAGACUCCUACGGGAGGCAGCAGUGGGGAAUUUUGGACAAUGGGCGCAAGCCUGAUCCAGCAAUGCCGCGUGCAGGAUGAAGGCCUUCGGGUUGUAAACUGCUUUUGUACGGAACGAAACGGUGAGCUCUAAUACAGUUUGCUAAUGACGGUACCGUAAGAAUAAGCACCGGCUAACUACGUG
This 484-nucleotide ribosomal RNA is filed under the name uncultured bacterium. RNAcentral describes it as "bacterial SSU rRNA". It matches the Rfam family "Bacterial small subunit ribosomal RNA", at positions 30 to 507 of the family's 1533-position model. The record is from RNAcentral.